GGCUCAGAGUGAACGCUGGCGGCGUGCCUAAUACAUGCAAGUCGAACGAUGAAGCUUCUAGCUUGCUAGAAUGCUGAUUAGUGGCGCACGGGUGAGUAACGCAUAGGUCAUGUGCCUCUUAGUUUGGGAUAGCCAUUGGAAACGAUGAUUAAUACCAGAUACUCCCUACGGGGGAAAGAUUUAUCGCUAAGAGAUCAGCCUAUGUCCUAUCAGCUUGUUGGUAAGGUAAUGGCUUACCAAGGCUAUGACGGGUAUCCGGCCUGAGAGGGUGAACGGACACACUGGAACUGAGACACGGUCCAGACUCCUACGGGAGGCAGCAGUAGGGAAUAUUGCUCAAUGGGGGAAACCCUGAAGCAGCAACGCCGCGUGGAGGAUGAAGGUUUUAGGAUUGUAAACUCCUUUUGUUAGAGAAGAUAAUGACGGUAUCUAACGAAUAAGCACCGGCUAACUCCGUGCCAGCAGCCGCGGUAAUACGGAGGGUGCAAGCGUUACUCGGAAUCACUGGGCGUAAAGAGCGCGUAGGCGGGAUAGUCAGUCAGGUGUGAAAUCCUAUGGCUUAACCAUAGAACUGCAUUUGAAACUACUAUUCUAGAGUGUGGGAGAGGUAGGUGGAAUUCUUGGUGUAGGGGUAAAAUCCGUAGAGAUCAAGAGGAAUACUCAUUGCGAAGGCGACCUGCUGGAACAUUACUGACGCUGAUUGUGCGAAAGCGUGGGGAGCAAACAGGAUUAGAUACCCUGGUAGUCCACGCCCUAAACGAUGGAUGCUAGUUGUUGGAGGGCUUAGUCUCUCCAGUAAUGCAGCUAACGCAUUAAGCAUCCCGCCUGGGGAGUACGGUCGCAAGAUUAAAACUCAAAGGAAUAGACGGGGACCCGCACAAGCGGUGGAGCAUGUGGUUUAAUUCGAAGAUACACGAAGAACCUUACCUAGGCUUGACAUUGAGAGAAUCCGCUAGAAAUAGUGGAGUGUCUAGCUUGCUAGACCUUGAAAACAGGUGCUGCACGGCUGUCGUCAGCUCGUGUCGUGAGAUGUUGGGUUAAGUCCCGCAACGAGCGCAACCCCCUUUCUUAGUUGCUAACAGGUCAUGCUGAGAACUCUAAGGAUACUGCCUCCGUAAGGAGGAGGAAGGUGGGGACGACGUCAAGUCAUCAUGGCCCUUACGCCUAGGGCUACACACGUGCUACAAUGGGGUGCACAAAGAGAAGCAAUACUGCGAAGUGGAGCCAAUCUUCAAAACGCCUCUCAGUUCGGAUUGUAGGCUGCAACUCGCCUGCAUGAAGCUGGAAUCGCUAGUAAUCGCAAAUCAGCCAUGUUGCGGUGAAUACGUUCCCGGGUCUUGUACUCACCGCCCGUCACACCAUGGGAGUUGUGUUUGCCUUAAGUCAGGAUGCUAAAUUGGCUACUGCCCACGGCACACACAGCGACUGGGGUGAAGUCGUAACAAGGUAACCGUA
RNAcentral lists this ribosomal RNA (1455 nucleotides) under Helicobacter pylori. Its description in RNAcentral is "16S ribosomal RNA". It matches the Rfam family "Bacterial small subunit ribosomal RNA". The record is from RNAcentral. Lineage: Bacteria; Pseudomonadati; Campylobacterota; Epsilonproteobacteria; Campylobacterales; Helicobacteraceae.